RNAcentral lists this ribosomal RNA (253 nucleotides) under uncultured bacterium. RNAcentral's name for it is "partial 16S ribosomal RNA". It matches the Rfam family "Bacterial small subunit ribosomal RNA", at positions 524 to 776 of the family's 1533-position model. The record is from RNAcentral.
UACGUAGGGUGCGAGCGUUGUCCGGAAUUACUGGGCGUAAAGAGCUCGUAGGUGGUUUGUCGCGUUGUUCGUGAAAACUCACAGCUUAACUGUGGGCGUGCGGGCGAUACGGGCAGACUGGAGUACUGCAGGGGAGACUGGAAUUCCCGGUGUAGCGGUGAAAUGCGCAGAUAUCAGGAGGAACACCGGUGGCGAAGGCGGGUCUCUGGGCAACAACUGACGCUGAGGAGCGAAAGCGUGGGGAGCGAACAGG